RNAcentral lists this ribosomal RNA (484 nucleotides) under uncultured bacterium. Its description in RNAcentral is "partial 16S ribosomal RNA". It matches the Rfam family "Bacterial small subunit ribosomal RNA", at positions 39 to 507 of the family's 1533-position model. The record is from RNAcentral.
GGGGGGGGGGGGGGGGGGGGGGGAGGGGGGGGGGGGGGGGGGGGGAGGGGGGCUGGGUGCUGGGUUCAGCGGCGGGCGGGUGAGGAAUGCGUAGGAAUCUGCCUGGUAGGGGGGGAUAACGUCCGGAAACGGGCGCUACUAGCGCCUACUGCCUGCGGGGGCACGUGGGGGAUCUUCGGACCUCACGCUCUCAGCUGAGCCUAGGUCGGAUUAGCUAGUUGGGGGGGUAAAGGCCUACCGAGGCGACGAUCCGUAACUGGUCUGAGAGGAUGAUCAGUCACACUGGAACUGAGACACGGUCCAGACUCCUACGGGAGGCAGCAGUGGGGAAUAUUGGACAAUGGGCGAAAGCCUGAUCCAGCCAUGCCGCGUGUGUGAAGAAGGUCUUCGGAUUGUAAAGCACUUUAAGUUGGGAGGAAGGGCAGUAAGUUAAUACCUUGCUGUUUUGACGUUACCAACAGAAUAAGCACCGGCUAACUUCGUG